CUUGCGCGAACGGAGCGGCCGAUGGCAGAUUAAGUAGUUGGUGGGAUAAAAGCUUACCAAGCCGACGAUCUGUAGCUGGUCUGAGAGGACGACCAGCCACACUGGGACUGAGACACGGCCCAGACUCCUACGGGAGGCAGCAGUGGGGAAUUUUGGACAAUGGGCGAAAGCCUGAUCCAGCCAUGCCGCGUGCAGGAUGAAGGCCUUCGGGUUGUAAACUGCUUUUGUACGGAACGAAAAGACUCUGGUUAAUACCUGGGGUCCAUGACGGUACCGUAAGAAUAAGCACCGGCUAACUACGUGCCAGCAGCCGCGGUAAUACGUAGGGUGCAAGCGUUAAUCGGAAUUACUGGGCGUAAAGCGUGCGCAGGCGGUUAUAUAAGACAGAUGUGAAAUCCCCGGGCUCAACCUGGGAACUGCAUUUGUGAC
RNAcentral lists this ribosomal RNA (429 nucleotides) under uncultured beta proteobacterium. RNAcentral describes it as "bacterial SSU rRNA". It matches the Rfam family "Bacterial small subunit ribosomal RNA", at positions 212 to 633 of the family's 1533-position model. Lineage: Bacteria; Pseudomonadati; Pseudomonadota; Betaproteobacteria. The record is from RNAcentral.